This 2093-nucleotide unclassified non-coding RNA is filed under the name Leishmania donovani. RNAcentral describes it as "gene:LdHU3.30.1440(CDS-product:mitochondrial_carr ier_protein-like_protein)". The record is from RNAcentral. Lineage: Eukaryota; Euglenozoa; Kinetoplastea; Trypanosomatida; Trypanosomatidae.
UGUCGGCGCACGAAUACCGCGGUGGUGUUCAAGGAAGCAGGUUCACUCGUUGGUGUGCAUCUUGCCUACUUAUCCGUCUUAUCGCUUUCACUUCAUCCUCGCGAAGCGAGUCUUUGCCGAUGUCUACCGUAGACAUGUAUAUUGAUGGGGCUGUCGCCUCCAUGUGCGCCACCAUCAUUUCCAACCCCUUUGAUGUGAUGCGAACACGCAUGCAGCUGCAGGGCGAGCUGUGCAAGCGUGGCGAGUACAAGGUUGUGUACGACAACCUGGGGCAGGGUAUGAUUCGUGUGGCCCGCGAAGAGGGCCUGCGUGCUCUACAAAAGGGCCUCGUAUCGUCUGUGAUGUGGCAGGUGAUGCAGAACGGGAUUCGAGUAGGACUGUACCCUGCUGCGCGUGCCGAGGUGAGCUAUGUGUGUGGGUCGGAUGCCGUCUACAUCUCGGUUAUCGCGGGUGCCUUGUGCGGCCUCGUGGGCAGCUACUUAUCCUCGCCAUUCCAGCUGGUGAAGACGCGCCUGCAAUCGCAGCGCAACACGAUUGUGACGAUGCGUGGCGAUGUGCUCUCGAAGGCGACGACGGGGGAGCAGUACGACUACGCUGGCGUGAAGGAUGCAUUUCACAAGAUCUACAAGACAGGCGGUCUGCGAGCGCUUUGGAAGGGCUCGCACAUCGCGGCGCAGCGCACGCUGGUCGGCUCUGCUGCGCAGCUCACCGCGUACGAUGUGGCAAAGCCUAUAAUUUGUCAGCGGAUGGGAUGGCCGGCCUCUGACAUCCGCGUGCACAUCUGCGCCGCCAUUUUCUCCGCCUCAUGUGUCAUGUGCGUCAUGAACCCGCUGGACGUUGUCAUGACGCGAUCCUUCAAUCACCGCAUCGGUGAGCCCAUGGCCUACUCCACAAACCUCGCCGUAGCGACGUGGAAGAUAUACCGCAUCGAGGGCGUGCGUGGACUGUACAAGGGGUCCAUGGCGCUCUUCUCUCGCUCCGCGCCCCACAACAUUGCGACAUUCGUGAUGCUGGAGUACCUGCGCAAGAUGCGUGAGCGGUACACGAACCGUGCGUACACAUCUGGGUCGUCCGUGGACAAGUCCAUUGGGUUUAACAGGGUCAUUGACAGAAAGAGCGGCAAGAACGCCGCCUAGUGCACUGUGUUGGCCAAUGCUGACCGACGCGGAGUUGCCCUUGCUGUACGCGGGCUGGAUGAGCUGAUUACCAAUCAGCACACCAGGGAAGUUGUGCUUGUGCGGCGGACUUGCAACUCGCUCUGCUUUCACCUCGCCUGCGGCUGCCGCUCUGCCUUCUCGCCUUCCAUGUGCGGGCGAUUGUGCUGUGUACUCGAUGUAAUGGUACUCAACGUGGAGGAGAGGAGAGACGCGUGCGCUGCUUCGCGUCUCGCGCGUGUGUACGGCGGUGGCUGUGAGUGCGGACGGCACGGUGCUCAGCGCACCCAGCUCCUGAACUGGUAUUCUUUGUGUUUUGGAUCCUAGGCAACGCUUGCACCGCGGAGGACACGAAGGGAAAACAUGAAGGAAAGACGUACGAGGAGGCGGCGGCGUUGCUACGCUUCACUGGUGGGGCUGGCGGCUCGAACAGCCCCACCGUGGAGCAAAGGGCCAGCGGCACGGGCUCCAUCCGCCCCUAUACGCAGGCAACAGGAGACCCACGUGGGCACUAGCAAGAUGCGUACCCAUGAACGAGAGGCAGGGGAGGAGAGGCCCGCACCCUUUGGUGUGCUGCCGAGGCUCAUGAAGGCAUGGGCCUCGUUUACGCUAGGCGACGACGGCAGCGGCCUAUGGAAAAGGUGAGGACGGCACAUCCCGACGUUACCUGCGGUGGGUUGCGUUCUUGUCUCGCGUCGCGAGCCUUUGCGCUGACCUUGCCGUCCCUCGUGCAUGCGCGCGCGCUCUCGCCGUAGCGGUGUUUCUUCUUCACCUUGACGACGAUCCCUACUCGGCGCCACAGCGCGAGUAUCUCUCUCUCUCUGUGUAGAGCUUCCCUGUCGUGCACCCGCUUUCUCGCCAACUUUUAUACCCUUGCUUUCUUACUGGUGCUUGUUGUGCCCCUCGCCAACGCGCGUGUGCCCUUACACGCUCGCGCAG